CACAGAUGCAUGAAAGAGGAGGAUGCUGUUCCUGAGCAAGCGUGGAGGAAGAUUGAGUUGUGCGUGGGAGGACAGAACAGGAGAACACUCCAGUUACUUGGGCCACUCCUCCAGCAAAUUUAAUAAGUAUUGUUAGAAAGUACUUUGCAAGGAAAAAUAAAGUUAAUCUCCUAAGCGUAGUUGAAUGAUGGGGCUGAGCUGGCAAUAAUAGUAAUUAAGAAAAAAACUUUAUUGAAAAAAAGUUGGCUAAUUUUCUACACCAUUCAGCUUUAUUCUGGGGGAAGAGGAGGUAGUGGUUUUUAUCACACAGUUUCCGAACUGGAUAAAUCACCCAAUCUAUAAGCCAUAACAAAUCCUUCUUCUGUUCCAGCUUUUUCUGAAGUUAUUUUUCCUCCAGAGAGGGAGAAUUGUAGCCCCAAACUUGAUUCAGAAAGGUCCAGGAUAUUCAAGCCUUCAAAGGUCAUUCAGACACAAACUAAGACAGACCAUCUCGCAAGCAUAUGGGGAUUGAGUUCAAAAUCAAAUCUAGGGUUUGGUGGAUCUUGGGAAGAGUACAGCUGUGGCAAUUUCAGUUCGAUGAAGCCAGAGGACCCUACACUGUUAAUGAAAUAUUACUCCUUUUCUUGGCAUCUCUCCGGUCAUUUUCAUCGUGACUUGUACUCAAAGCAGGGAUGUCUAUGUGCCUGGAUGGGACUGGACAUUCAAGAACUGAUCUCCGAGCAUCAUUCAGGAGCACCGAUUUCAAGAAAAGCCACCAUCGGGAUAGGACUGAAAUACAGAAGUGCUACCUCGAGAGGACAUAACCAGAUAGACUGCAAGGCAGAGGCAAGAUUUUCCCCAACAUCUUCAUACUGGUGAGCCUCGAGGUACUAUUUUUUUUUUUUUGGGGGGUGGGGGGGAGGGUGGGAUAAGGAAAUGCAUGGAGGGCAUUAAAUUGAGAAUAUGUUAAAACAGAACAACGACAGCAAAACAGAGUUUGUAUUUAUUCAGGCUUCACAUUAAGUAUCAAUGUCAGCAACUUCUGCUGAAGGAGGAAUGUUUGGACUUCACAGCAUACAGGACUGUGAGGCAUUAAGCCACCCUGAUGCAAAUUUGCUUAUCAUCAAGGAUACCUAGCAAAUAAGCAAGAAAAAAAAAUAUACAAGGAGCUUUGAUCAGCCCUGGCACUGUGUGUGAAACUCUAGCUUCAUUGGAAAGUGUCAGGGUAAGUGAAAGAAGGGCCUUUGUAAUUGUUGUCUUACAAUUAUGUCACUCACUCCUCUAGCCUUCAUUUUCCCUGUGCAAUUUGUAAGAGAUGAGUCAUUCAAAGUACCUCUGUUUACAGAGAGCCUCAGUAAUCCAACACUGUGGCCAGGCAGAUUCCAUGAACUGCAGACCCCAGUGUUGACAGAUGGGGUUUGUGAGUAAUUGUUUGAUGGGCACUGUGGGUGAGGCUGUAGGGAAGUAGCAGGAGAAAGGGGUUCUGUGGGUUUUUUUUGAGCUUGGAGGUCACGUCAGCUACCAGCAAGAGCAUCUUUCAGUGUUUUUUGAUUGCAUUGUUAUUUUGGUACUGGUGAUGAUAAAGUUUUAAACGGGGAGGGGCAAGGAGGAUACUUCUCUCAUCCUACACAGCUCUGCAGAUGCUGGUGUUAAUGUUAGCUAGGGGCAGGAUCUCAGGAGCUGCUCACUUUGCACCAGGCACGAGCCAGAAGAAAGGGAAUAUGAACAAAGUGGGGAUUGCUGCAUUCAUGCAGAGUAGUUUGUGUAGAAAAUGUCAAUCUGGUGAGCAAAGACAAAAUGAUAUGUCUGAAGAUGCAAAUUCUUUGCACAGAAUGGAUGUAGCAUAGACAGUAGUGCAAGUCAUUCUACACACUGAUAAAGUAGCCUUAGACCAGUUCAGUCUAUUUUUAUGGCUUGGUCAGUUUGGUGAUUAAAUCCAGCAGAUUUCCAUUCUGUAAUUAAACAACAACAACAAAAUAAUAAUAAUAAAAACAAAACAAAAACCA
This is a long non-coding RNA of Anser cygnoides (Swan goose), 1985 nucleotides long. The record is from Ensembl. Lineage: Eukaryota; Metazoa; Chordata; Aves; Anseriformes; Anatidae.